GCCUCUGCGCCUGCGCUCUCGGGCAGCUGCAGCGGCCACCUGGAGAGCAGUGAAGCCAGUGCGCCGCCCACCUGGAAAGAUUCUCUCUAGAUCCAAAGAAAAACAAGAGGGUUCUUUUUGCCUUCUACUCCUCAAAACACACCAGCAGCUCAGCAAUUGGAGGGGAGGCUGAAGGACAAAAACAUUGCUAUCCCAUAGAGCAACGGUAUAAGAGCCAAUAGAGACUCCUGGCGCUGGAAGUCACGGAUCCGAAAGAAGGCGCCCAAUCAUUUGGUUUCUUUGGAUCGUUAUUGAGUCUUCUGUCAUCAUAGUUCACCCUCCUACUCGAAUGCCUCCCGUGGGGCCCUUACCCUUGCUCUCCUCUGCCUGGAAUGCCCGCCUCUUCUUGCAUUCAAGCCCCUGGGUUCUAUUCAGAUGCUCCAGUUACAAAUGAUAGAUCCAAAAUUGUCUUCUGGAAGAAACAUCACAAAACUUCAAAGAAAUUAGAAAAAAGUUACCUACAUAGGCAGAGAAUUCAACUGUGAGUUGACAAUUAUUUACGAUUCUCUUAACUGGCUGUUUCACAACGUUAUGGAGCUAAGAAAGGAUGAAAGCUUACCACUGCUUGGAUACCAGCUUGAUAAGCAGCUUGGAAUGUCAAAUAUAUAACAAGAAAGGAAAUAUUCUACUUUAAAGGAACAUGUUGUCACAGAAAGAACAAUGACCCAUGGGCACAAGAGAAGCACAGAAACAAGAUGAGAUAAAGCUUGAAGACGUUUAGCUCCACCAACGUCGACAGAGAGCUUUCUGGAAGCUGUAUGAAAACCAACUUUACAACACAAAGCCAGUACUAGCAAUAAUACUCCACCCUGCUUCUAGUUUUCCUCAAGACUUGAAACAACUCUGAUCUAUUCCAAAAGGAUACGGUGUUCAGCCAUUUUAGCCAUGAGAUCAUCAUUGUCAAAAAGCAAUAAACAGAUCACAGCAAUAAUGAAAAAAGCAGCUCCCCUUGUCUGAAAAUAAAGAAAACAACAUCAAGGAUGA
Long non-coding RNA from Homo sapiens (human), 1023 nucleotides. Lineage: Eukaryota; Metazoa; Chordata; Mammalia; Primates; Hominidae. The record is from Ensembl.